RNAcentral lists this ribosomal RNA (453 nucleotides) under Trachylepis gonwouoi (Gonwouo's skink). RNAcentral's name for it is "partial 16S ribosomal RNA". It matches the Rfam family "Bacterial large subunit ribosomal RNA", at positions 1960 to 2612 of the family's 2925-position model. The record is from RNAcentral. Lineage: Eukaryota; Metazoa; Chordata; Lepidosauria; Squamata; Scincidae.
CGUAAUCAUUUGUCUUCUAAAUAAAGACCCGUAUGAAUGGCUAAAUGAGGGCAAGCCUGUCUCUUAUAAUUAAUCAGUGAAACUGAUCCUCCAGUACAAACGCUGGAAUAAACACAUAAGACGAGAAGACCCCGUGGAGCUUAAAACAAACCACUAACACACUUCAACCCUAGUGCACUGUUUUGAGUUGGGGCGACUUCGGAAUAAAAUAAAACUUCCGAGCACAGAACCACCACUUCCAACCAAGGCCAACAAGCCUAAGUAUAACCAGACCCGGCUACAUUGCCGAUCAACGAACCAAGUUACCCCGGGGAUAACAGCGCUAUCUUCUUCAAGAGUCCCUAUCAACAAGAAGGUUUACGACCUCGAUGUUGGAUCAGGACACCCAAAUGGUGCAGCCGCUAUUAUAGGUUCGUUUGUUCAACGAUUAACAGUCCUACGUGAUCUGAGUUC